Molecule: small RNA, 900 nt
Filed under: Pongo abelii (Sumatran orangutan)
Lineage: Eukaryota; Metazoa; Chordata; Mammalia; Primates; Hominidae
Description: processed transcript
Source: RNAcentral
UCUAUUCUUAUUCUGAGAAGGAGCUUAUAUGCCACAAUCAGUUCUCUCUCUUUCUUGUUGGCUCUGGAGGCUUUGGUGGAAAACGGACAUCAGACAAAGUCAAGGUAGCUGUAGCCAUACCUAAUAGACCUCCUGAUGCUGUACUUACAGAUACCACCUCUCUUAAUCAGGCUGCUUUGUACCGCCUCAGUGGAGACUGGAAUCCCUUACACAUUGAUCCUAACUUUGCUAGUCUAGCAGGUUUUGAGAAGCCCAUAUUACAUGGAUUAUGUACAUUUGGAUUUUCUGCCAGGCAUGUUUUACAGCAGUUUGCAGAUAAUGAUGUAUCAAGAUUCAAGGCAAUUAAGGCUCGUUUUGCAAAACCAGUAUAUCCAGGACAAACUCUACAAACUGAGAUGUGGAAGGAAGGAAACAGAAUUCAUUUUCAAACCAAGGUCCAAGAAACUGGAGACAUUGUCAUUUCAAAUGCAUAUGUGGAUCUUGCACCAACAUCUGAUGCUUCAGCUAAGACACCCUCUGAGGGCGGGAAGCUUCAGAGUACCCUCGUAUUUGAGGAAAUAGGACGCCGCUUAAAGGAUAUUGGGCCUGAGGUGGUGAAGAAAGUAAAUGCUGUAUUUGAAUGGCAUAUAACCAAAGGUGGAAAUAUUGGGGCUAAGUGGACUAUUGACCUGAAAAGUGGUUCUGGAAAAGUGUACCAAGGCCCUGCAAAAGGUGCUGCUGAUACAACAAUCAUACUUUCAGAUGAAGAUUUCAUGGAGGUGGUCCUGGGCAAGCUUGACCCUCAGAAGGCAUUCUUUAGUGGCAGACUGAAGGCCAGAGGGAACAUCAUGCUGAGCCAGAAACUUCAGAUGAUUCUUAAAGACUAUGCCAAGCUCUGAAGGGCACACUACACUAUUAAUA